GACAGAGGUGCCGAGCGUUAGGCGGAAUCACUGGGCUUAAAGCGUGUGUAGGCGGGGCGUUAAGUGCUUUGUGAAAUCCCACGGCUCACCCGUGGAACUGCUGGGUAUACUGGGCGUCUUGAGCCACCUAGGGGCCAGCGGAACAAAUGGUGGAGCGGUGAAAUGCGUAGAGAUCGGAAAGAACACCAACGGCGAAAGCACUCUGCUGGGCCGACACUGACACUGAGAGACGAAAGCUAGGGGAGCGAAUGGG
Molecule: ribosomal RNA, 253 nt
Filed under: uncultured bacterium
Lineage: Bacteria
Description: partial 16S ribosomal RNA
Rfam family: Bacterial small subunit ribosomal RNA
Source: RNAcentral